This is a long non-coding RNA of Chelonia mydas (Green sea turtle), 2606 nucleotides long. RefSeq lists it as uncharacterized. The transcript is spliced from 3 exons. Lineage: Eukaryota; Metazoa; Chordata; Testudines; Cheloniidae. The record is from RefSeq and is a predicted model, not a curated record.
UCCAAGACUCCCCAACAGCCUCCCCAACAACCCUCCCCAGAGCUCUGCCCUUGUGGGCACUCUGGUUUAUAGUCUGACCCUUCAGGGACAUGUCAUAAUUGAAGCAAACACCACCCAGACUUUGCAGAGGAAUUUCUAAAGCCAAAACACUUUACUCAUAAACACCACACAAGAUAUUCAGAUUGAGGCUAAAUGAUACUACUGCCCCAUCUCCCUAACACCCUCCCAGCUCAUGCAAUGUGCCGUGCCCUCCCCCUGCACCCCACAUCCCGUCUCCACUCCACUCUCAACAAGCUUUCUAGCCACUUUUUCCUGCCCAAGACUUGAGCCUCUGCUCCCCAGCGACCUAUGCACUGCCCCUCACACUGCUGGUUGCUCCAUCAGCUUGGGGAUCCCGUCCUCGCCUGGUUCUUUGUAGGAGAGCCCCUAGCUCCUUAGGGCAGGGACACCAAGGGGGAGCAGUCACAGGCUAGGAAGGAGGCCCCAGAGGGGGAUGGAGCCGUUAUGAACAUAGGACUGGAAAGAGCCUCGGGGUCACCGAGUCCAGCCCGUGCUAUGGCCGGCAACCCCGUCACGCCAUCCCCUUCGUAAACUUACCAAGCUCCACCUGAAGCAUUGUCUCCAUGCGUUUCCUUUCCCUCCCCACCGCUAGGGAGGCGCUCGGGUCCAGAGGCUCCCCAAACAGCAUGCACAGACUCAGGCCCUGGAUCCCCCGCCCCAGACCGGAGGCUGGGCUGGACUCAGAACAGGAGGAGUGAGAGACUCUGUGUCCCGUUCUCUAGUCUCCUCAGGCAUCCAGCUCCCCACAACCUGUACAGACGCUGGAGGUGGACAGAUCGCUCCCUGUAUUACUACAAAGCUUGGAACACUGGGGAACCAAACAAUGACCAUGGUGUCGAGUACUGUGUCGAGCUGCCGAAUUACAGGGAUUUUAAGAACUGGAAUGAUAAAGACUGUCAGACGAAAAAUGGCUACGUUUGCAAGUAUCGACCCUAGCGAGGGGAGUCGCUCUCCUGCGCCUGAAGGGGGAGCUCAGCGCCUGGGAUGUAAAAGAACUGGGCUCCUUGGGCAUGAUCAGACAAGAUCCCAGACUUUCCAAUGCCUUUGCUGCAUCAAGGGACAGUCCUCUCCCUCCCUGAGAGACCAGAUCUCACUUCCCCAGCUGCAAACUCUCUUCCCCGAAGUGUGUCUGCUCUAGUUACAUUCCUGCCCCCUCCCCUCAGUGGCUGCAGCCCACAACAAGAAUAAACUCUCCUGAGCAUGCAGUUCUGUGUGUGUCUCCUCUGUCCCAAUCCUGGCCCUGCAUAGAGGCGUCCAUCCAGCCCCCUCUGACUGUGUCCUGAACUGCCCAGAUCUCAGUGGAGGAGAGGAAGGGGAUCGUCAGAGGGAGGCAGGAUUGGUCUCGCCUUUUGGAUAAGGGACAGGACUUCGUCUCCCUCUAGAUAUCUGCAAUAACCAGAGUUUCUUCUCUCUUCUGGCCCACCCAUCUCCUCCUGGUCUUAUCUCCACUCAGACACACAAAGCAGGGACAUUUCUAGCGGUUGUGUAAUCAUCAGGCCCCACCAGAGCUGGAAGCAUUUGCCACAGUACUAAGCAGGCUGAGGUCCCUGAAUACCACCCCUUGGACCUUUUUCCAACUGGUCAGUGUUGGACAGUGUCUGGGUUAUGUUACUACUCCUGGGGGAAUUCUGCACCACUGUGUGUGCAGAACUGGCUCGAGCCCCUCCACCGCAGUAAUCUGGGAAAACUUAACACCGCCCCGGGCGCCUCCAAGAGACAAUACGUCCCCACUCACAGGCACUGAGUCUGUGUUUUACAAAAGAGAACUGCUAUUGAAAGGGAAAGGGAACCCAGCAUUAGUUUGGGAAAACAUCACAACCACACUCAAACACAUGUGAUCAUAAGCCAAGCCAACCCCACAGCACACUUUUGUUAGGUGGGUUCAUUUUCGUAUGUUUUGUGACUACAGGAAUCCAUGUUGGUUUCAAAAUGGAAUUUUAUGCCCACGUGAGCUAUAGGUCCAUUUUCCCGCUCUUUUAUUUCUCCUGGAGUUGUAAACAACUUCCAGUCAGAACUGGUUUUCCUAAGGGGUUUCCCAGAAGGGGCUUCCCGCCUUUUCUAAGGGGUUUCCCGGGCAAGUGUAUAAAAAGCUGCCCUGAACCUGGCCUCAGGGCUGUCCAACUGAGUGGCAGCCAGGGACGGUCACGGGUCAUGGGUCUUACCUGCAGACAUCUAUCCAUCCUAGGGAUUUUCCUCCUACAGCUUCCUCACCUGUAAAGAGAAGAGAGGAGAAGAAACAGCACUUACCUUUGUCAUCGUCCAUCGCUGUGCUCCUGAGCGUACCAUUUCUUCUGUUUUCCUGUGGCCCCGAAGGAACAUCAAGGGACUCCUUGGAGCUCCUCUCCAAAGCCUGCCGUUAGCCAGAGGAUUGAGGUCCCAAGCACCUGCUGUCGCUUUGAUCUGUGAAGACGGUUUUUAUAUCUGUUUUGUAGGGUGGAGUUUGGGGGUAAUCACUGUAUUGCGCAAUUUUGCUCUUUAUUCCCCUUCUUAUUUGUCCCACUCUUUGUUAUAAACCCUUCAAUACACUUUAUUUGAUUUUACCUUUA